AGUGAACGCUGGCGGCAGGCCUAACACAUGCAAGUCGAACGGCAGCACAAGAGAGCUUGCUCUCUGGGUGGCGAGUGGCGGACGGGUGAGGAAUGCAUCGGAAUCUGCCCAUUUGUGGGGGAUAACCUCGGGAAACCGGGACUAAUACCGCAUACGACCUACGGGUGAAAGCAGGGGAUCUUCGGACCUUGCGCAGAUGGAUGAGCCGAUGCCGGAUUGGCUAGUUGGAGGGGUAAAGGCCCACCAAGGCGACGAUCCGUAGCUGGUCUGAGAGGAUGAUCAGCCACACUGGGACUGAGACACGGCCCAGACUCCUACGGGAGGCAGCAGUGGGGAAUAUUGGACAAUGGGCGCAAGCCUGAUCCAGCCAUGCCGCGUGUGCGAAGAAGGCCUUCGGGUUGUAAAGCACUUUUGUUGGGAAAGAAAAGCGGCCGGUUAAUACCCGGUUGUCAUGACGGUACCCAAAGAAUAAGCACCGGCUAACUUCGUG
This 490-nucleotide ribosomal RNA is filed under the name uncultured bacterium. RNAcentral's name for it is "partial 16S ribosomal RNA". It matches the Rfam family "Bacterial small subunit ribosomal RNA", at positions 29 to 507 of the family's 1533-position model. The record is from RNAcentral.